Molecule: ribosomal RNA, 503 nt
Filed under: uncultured bacterium
Lineage: Bacteria
Description: partial 16S ribosomal RNA
Rfam family: Bacterial small subunit ribosomal RNA
Source: RNAcentral
AUUGAACGCUGGCGGCAGGCUUAACACAUGCAAGUCGAGCGGGGUGAUGGUGCUUGCACUAUCACUUAGCGGCGGACGGGUGAGUAAUGCUUAGGAAUCUGCCUAUUAGUGGGGGACAACAUCUCGAAAGGGAUGCUAAUACCGCAUACGUCCUACGGGAGAAAGCAGGGGAUCACUUGUGACCUUGCGCUAAUAGAUGAGCCUACGUCGGAUUAGCUAGUUGGUGGGGUAAAGGCCUACCAAGGCGACGAUCUGUAGCGGGUCUGAGAGGAUGAUCCGCCACACUGGGACUGGGACACGGCCCAGACUCCUACGGGAGGCAGCAGUGGGGAAUAUUGGACAAUGGGGAGAACCCGGAUCCCGCCAUGCCGCGUGUGUGAAGAAGGCCUUAUGGUUGUAAAGCACUUUAAGCGAGGAGGAGGCUCUUUUGGUUAAUACCCAAGAUGAGUGGACGUUACUCGCAGAAUAAGCACCGGCUAACUCUGUGCCAGCAGCCGCGGUAA